CAAAAGAAACUGGCAGACUAGAGUACUGUAGAGGGGGGUAGAAUUUCAGGUGUAGCGGUGAAAUGCGUAGAGAUCUGAAGGAAUACCGGUGGCGAAGGCGGCCCCCUGGACAGAUACUGACACUCAGAUGCGUUUGCGUGGGGAGCAAACAGGAUUAGAUAGGGUGGUAGUCCACGCCGUAAACGAUGUCUACUUGGAGGUUGUGGCCUUGAGCCGUGGCUUUCGGAGCUAACGCGUUAAGUAGACCGCCUGGGGAGUACGGUCGCAAGAUUAAAACUCAAAUGAAUUGACCCCGGCCCGCACAAGCGGUGGAGCAUGUGGUUUAAUUCGAUGCAACGCGAAGAACCUUACCUACUCUUGACAUCCAGAGAACUUUCCAGAGAUGGAUUGGUGCCUUCGGGAACUCUGAGACAGGUGCUGC
RNAcentral lists this ribosomal RNA (421 nucleotides) under Vibrio sp. PASRS110. RNAcentral describes it as "bacterial SSU rRNA". It matches the Rfam family "Bacterial small subunit ribosomal RNA", at positions 624 to 1044 of the family's 1533-position model. The record is from RNAcentral. Lineage: Bacteria; Pseudomonadati; Pseudomonadota; Gammaproteobacteria; Vibrionales; Vibrionaceae.